Musa acuminata subsp. malaccensis (wild Malaysian banana) is the source of this 1241-nucleotide non-coding RNA. The record is from RefSeq and is a predicted model, not a curated record. NCBI's taxonomy places the organism in Eukaryota, Viridiplantae, Streptophyta, Magnoliopsida, Zingiberales, Musaceae.
AACAGAGAAGGCGGUUCUUGAUCUCGGGAGAUCGCCACGUUAUGCCUACUUCGCCUUCGCCUGCUCCAAUGCCCUCUUCCCUUCCUGUCUCCCGGAAGAGUACGCGUUGCCUGGUCGGCACGGGAUCUCGGAUCCCGGUGAUGAGGGCAUACGCUUCUUGGAUUGGCUCGGCUCUGCCUGCACAUCGGUUUGGCAGGAGGAAGCCCAGGGAAGAUGGAACACCUUUCUCAGGCCAGGUACCUCUACUUAUGGCAAUUCAAAUGGAGAACACUAAAUACUUUAAUGAAACCGGCUAGUAGUUUGAGGAACCAUUUCAGGUUGCAUCUUGGGUUUUUCUUAUAGGAGCAUCCCCUUGUCGGAGAGUAUGCUCUAUCUGAGACACAAAUGGAUCUUCUCCCUUAUGGUCUAAGGUGACUCAGAUAUGGUUAAAUAGGGAACCCUUAUUUAAAUUCAAGAAAAAAGGACAAGGAUGGCGUCAUCUUGACGUCCACAGUUGCAAAAACACAGUUGGACUCGAAACAGUUAAGACAAUGGGUAGUGAAUAUGGGAUACAUAAUGCUGAUGUUUCUCACCCGUAUGAUGCGUAGCUGCAGGUGAUCUCAUAUAUGCUAUUAUGGGAAGCAGAGUCUCUUUGUCAUGUAUCUAUGUAGAGAACAAGAUGACAAUAGAUAACACUCGAGGAACCAAAAGUCCUAUAUAAUCUUCCUCGCCACCGUUCCAGUCAGAGUGGCUUAAUAGAGAUUGAUGAAGGGAAGGGGAACAACAGGGUAGCGACAACUGCUUUACUGAUGGGAGAGGUACCAAUGUGAAUGAUUUAAGCUCCACCCACCAGCCUUCAUCCGCUAAUCAAGCUGAGUGCAUUCAACCUCUUCGAGAGCGUUUUGCGAUGGAUCUUUUUCAAACCUGGAUGUAAUUGCAGAACCGGUUAUUGCUUUGUGGAUGGGAAUGACACUAUAAUCACUCGAGGAAGCAGUACACAUCAGGCCUCCACCCCACUCCAAGCGGAAUGCUGAGCCAUUUGGUACGCUCCCACCAAAGCUUCACAAAUGACUUAUCGUAAUAUCAUUGUCAAAUCUGACUCUUUAGAGACUCUGCUGAUUUGUAAUAAAGUUGGUCGACAUGUAUUUUUUGUCAACUCCAAUCAGGCAAGAUUUUUUUGUCUUCCUCCAAUCAAGCAAGACUGCUACCGUUCCGGUUCUUACUUGAAAGUUGAAUUUUCUUUUAACAAAAUUCUUAUUUUU